AACGAACGCUGGCGGCAUGCCUAACACAUGCAAGUCGAACGAGACCUUCGGGUCUAUUGGCGCACGGGUGCGUAACGCGUGGGAACCUGCCCUUAGGUUCGGAAUAACUCCCCGAAAGGGGUGCUAAUACCGGAUAAUGUCUUCGGACCAAAGAUUUAUCGCCUUUGGAUGUGCCCGCGUUGGAUUAGCUAGUUGGUAGGGUAAAAGCCUACCAAGGCGACGAUCCAUAGCUGGUCUGAGAGGAUGAUCAGCCACACUGGGACUGAGACACGGCCCAGACUCCUACGGGAGGCAGCAGUGGGGAAUAUUGGACAAUGGGCGAAGGCCUGAUACAGCCAUGCCGCGUGAGUGAUGAAGGCCUUAGGGUUGUAAAGCUCUUUUACACGGGAUGAUAAUGACAGUACCGGGAGAAUAAGCUCCGGCUAACUACGUG
Molecule: ribosomal RNA, 433 nt
Filed under: uncultured bacterium
Lineage: Bacteria
Description: partial 16S ribosomal RNA
Rfam family: Bacterial small subunit ribosomal RNA
Source: RNAcentral